This 403-nucleotide ribosomal RNA is filed under the name bacterium. RNAcentral describes it as "partial 16S ribosomal RNA". It matches the Rfam family "Bacterial small subunit ribosomal RNA", at positions 355 to 776 of the family's 1533-position model. The record is from RNAcentral.
UGGGGAAUAUUGCACAAUGGAGGGAACUCUGAUGCAGCGACGCCGCGUGAACGAAGAAGGCUUUCGAGUCGUAAAGUUCUUUUAUAUGGGAAGAUAAUGACGGUACCAUAAGAAAAAGCCCCGGCUAACUACGUGCCAGCAGCCGCGGUAAUACGUAGGGGGCUAGCGUUGUCCGGAAUCACUGGGCGUAAAGGGUUCGCAGGCGGAAAUGCAAGUCAGGUGUAAAAGGCAGUAGCUUAACUACUGUAAGCAUUUGAAACUGCAUAUCUUGAGAAGAGUAGAGGUAAGUGGAAUUUUUAGUGUAGCGGUGAAAUGCGUAGAUAUUAAAAAGAAUACCGGUGGCGAAGGCGACUUACUGGGCUCAUUCUGACGCUGCUGAACGAAAGCGGGGGUAGCAAACAGG